CACGUAGGAGGCAAGCGUUAUUCGGAUUUACUGGGCGUAAAGCGCGUGCAGGCGGUUUGGUAAGUUGGAUGUGAAAGCUCCUGGCUUAACUGGGAGAGGUCGUUCAAUACUGCCAGACUUGAGGAUGGGAGAGGAAAGUGGAAUUCCGAGUGUAGUGGUGAAAUGCGUAGAUAUUCGGAGGAACACCAGUGGCGAAAGCGGCUUUCUGGCCCAUUUCUGACGCUCAGACGCGAAAGCUAGGGUAGUAAACGGGAUUAGAGACCCCGGUAAUCCUAGCCGUAAACUAUGUGAACUUGGCGUUGGCGGGUUUAAAUCCGUCAGUGCCGAAGCUAACGCGAUAAGUUCACCGCCUGGGGACUACGGCCGCAAGGUUA
Molecule: ribosomal RNA, 374 nt
Filed under: uncultured prokaryote
Description: bacterial SSU rRNA
Rfam family: Bacterial small subunit ribosomal RNA
Source: RNAcentral